RNAcentral lists this non-coding RNA (28 nucleotides) under Mus musculus (house mouse). The record is from RNAcentral. Lineage: Eukaryota; Metazoa; Chordata; Mammalia; Rodentia; Muridae.
UGAGCAUCCACUUCUGUAUUUGCCAGGC